CCUACGGGUGGCAGCAGUGAGGCAUAUUGGUCAAUGGGCGCGAGCCUGAACCAGCCAAGUAGCGUGAAGGAUUACUUCCCUACGGGUUGUCCACUUCUUUUAUAAAGGAAUAAAGUGAGGCACGUGUGCCUUUUUGUAUGUACUUUAUGCAUAAGGAUCGGCUAACUCCGUGCCAGCAGCCUCGGUAAUACGGAGGAUCCGAGCGUUAUCCGGAUUUAUUGGGUUUAAAGGGAGCGUAGAUGGGUUGUUAAGUCAGUUGUGAACGUUUGCGGCUCAACCGUAAAAUUGCAAUUGAUACUGGCAGCCGUGAGUACAGUUGAGGUAGGAGGAAUUCGUGGUGUAGCGGUGAAAUGCUUAGAUAUCACGAAGAACUCCGAUUGCGAAGGCAGCCUACUAAACUGCCACUGACAUUGAUGCUCGAAAGUGUGGGUAUCAAACAGGAUUAGAUACCCCAGUAGUC
Molecule: ribosomal RNA, 460 nt
Filed under: uncultured bacterium
Lineage: Bacteria
Description: partial 16S ribosomal RNA
Rfam family: Bacterial small subunit ribosomal RNA
Source: RNAcentral